RNAcentral lists this ribosomal RNA (253 nucleotides) under uncultured bacterium. RNAcentral's name for it is "partial 16S ribosomal RNA". It matches the Rfam family "Bacterial small subunit ribosomal RNA", at positions 524 to 776 of the family's 1533-position model. The record is from RNAcentral.
UACGUAGGGGGCUAGCGUUGUCCGGAAUCAUUGGGCGUAAAGCGCGCGUAGGCGGCCCGGUAAGUCCGCUGUGAAAGUCAAAGGCUCAACCUUUGAAUGUCAGCGGAUACUGCCGGGCUAGAGUCCGGAAGAGGCGAGUGGAACUCCUGGUGUAGCGGUGGAAUGCGCAGAUAUCAGGAAGAACACCGACGGCGAAGGCAGCUCGCUGGGACGGUACUGACGCUGAGGCGCGAAAGCGUGGGGAGCGAACAGG